Non-coding RNA from Oryzias latipes (Japanese medaka), 1029 nucleotides. Lineage: Eukaryota; Metazoa; Chordata; Actinopteri; Beloniformes; Adrianichthyidae. The record is from RefSeq and is a predicted model, not a curated record.
UAAAGCUUUUAAUCAUUUGAGUCCUUUUACUAAAGUUUUUGAGCAUUUGAGUUUGCAACAUUUUAAAUUCUAUUUAUAUUAACAGGUGGUGGCAUGAGUUCUGACCCUGGGGCAUGAGAGUAACUUGGUGGUUGGACCUGGCUGAAGGUGGCUGCCUCCUCCUUUUAUCCUUAUGGUAGCUGGUGGGUGCCAUACGUGGUGUUGUGUAAGGGGAACCCCCCCCCCCCCCCCCCGUGUUCGGCCCAUAAAUUGGUGGUGUCCUGCUCAGGUGCACCUCUUCUGUUUUGUAUUUUCUUUUAAUCACUGUUUGGGUUGUGGUGUGUUUUUGUGUGCAUUUGGGCCCUGAGCAGGUACUCCUGGUGAGGGUUUGGAUCAGAGAUCUCCCUUGGUGGUGGUGUUUGGGGCUACCCACCAGUGCAGUGGGGUUGAGGCGAUCUGGAGGCAGCCGCCCUCAUGCAGUGUUGGAGUGCGGUCCAACUGUCUUAGUUUAUUUUAACCUUUUUUAUGGAACUUGUGUCAAGUUUUUAAUAAAUGGUAUAUUUUUAACCACUACCAAAUCCAGUCUCCAUUUGGUGUGCAAAUGUAAGAGGGCAUUCGGUCACAUUUUCAUAUGGCUUAUUGAAGUAUUUUGCUUCUAUCAAAUUUUGAAUUUGUAAAUUAUUCAUUUUUUCUUAACACGGUGGAUCACAAAACAUUAAGUUCUUUUUUUUUGCAUUUGAAAAAUGAUUAUUGCCUUUGAUAUUUAAAAAAUUAUGGUUGCUGUAAAUGAUAUCGAACUUAAAUGGCAAUUUGUUUUGUGCCUCAGUAACCACUUCUAUCCACCUCUGGUCAUAUCUAACACUUUUCAAUACUAUGAGCAUAAAAUCAUCAAUUCAGCUUUAUUAGGAUGUUUUCUUCAACAGUCUGGAUUUGCAUGGAUGGGGGAGAAUGCCAAAAGCUAUGAAGCCAAUGGGUGAAACUAAUUUAAAAAAACUGAAUUUCAGAUUUAAAGAUAUAUUAGGAACCUGGGAACUAAAAAAAAAAAAAAAA